CCUACGGGAGGCAGCAGUGGGGAAUCUGGRCAAUGGGCGAAAGCCUGAUCCAGCGACGCCGCGUGGGUGAAGAAGGCCUGCGGAUUGUAAAGCCCUGUCGGUGGGGAAGAAAGGCCUCGAGUUAAUACCUCCGGGUCUUGACGUAACCCAUAAAAAAAGCCCCGGCUAACUCUGUGCCAGCAGCCGCGGUAAU
Molecule: ribosomal RNA, 193 nt
Filed under: uncultured bacterium
Lineage: Bacteria
Description: partial 16S rRNA
Rfam family: Bacterial small subunit ribosomal RNA
Source: RNAcentral